This 949-nucleotide ribosomal RNA is filed under the name uncultured archaeon. RNAcentral's name for it is "bacterial SSU rRNA". It matches the Rfam family "Archaeal small subunit ribosomal RNA", at positions 120 to 1085 of the family's 1478-position model. The record is from RNAcentral.
AAGGGGAUAACCCCGGGAAACUGGGGAUAAUACCCUAUAGAUUAGAGAUGCUGGAAUGCCCUGUAAUCCAAACUUCCGACGCCCUACCAUGGAUGUGCGGCCGAUUAGGUUGUUCUUGGGGUAAUGGCCCAACAAGCCCGUAAUCGGUACGGGUUGUGGGAGCAAGAGCCCGGAGUUCCAUUCUCAGACACGAAUCCAGGCCCUACGGGGCGCACCAGGCGCGAAAACUUUACAAUGCGGGCAACCGUGAUAAGGGAACCUCGAGUGGGUGUAAAUGCAGGCUGUUCAGGUGCCUAAAAGACAGGUGAAGAAAGGGCCGGGCAAGACCGGUGCCAGCCGCCGCGGUAAUACCGGCGGCCGAGUGGUGGCCGCUUUUAUUGGGCUUAAAGCGUUCCUAGCUGGGUUGUUAAGUCUCUUGGGAAAUCUGGCGGCUUAACCGUCAGGCGUGUAAGGGAUAGUGGCAAUCUGGAACCGGGAGACCUGAGGGGUACUUCGGGGGUAGGAGUGAAAUCCUGUAAUGGUCGAGGGACCACCUGUGGCGAAGGCGCCUCAGGAGAACGGCUUCGACAGUGAGGGACAAGCUGGGGAGCAAACCGAUUCCAUACCCGGGUAGUCCCAGCCGUAAACUAUGCGCGUUACCUGUAUCGGUGACCACGAGUUACCGAGGUGCCGAAGGGAAAGGGUGAAACGUGCCGCCUGGGAAGUACGGUCGCAAGGCUGAAAGUUAAAGGAAUUGGCGGGGGAGCACCACAACAGGUGGAGCCUGCGGUUUAUUGGAACGCCGGGAAGCUCACCGGAUAAGAGAGGAGAAUCAUUGCCGGGCUGAAGACUCUGCAUGACUAGCUCAGAGGAGGUGCAUGGCCGUCGUCAGUUCGUACUGUGAAGCAUGGUGUUAAGUCAGGCAAGGAGGAAGACCCACGCCAACAGUUGGGAGCAUGGUCUCCGGAGU